This 253-nucleotide ribosomal RNA is filed under the name uncultured bacterium. RNAcentral describes it as "partial 16S ribosomal RNA". It matches the Rfam family "Bacterial small subunit ribosomal RNA", at positions 524 to 776 of the family's 1533-position model. The record is from RNAcentral.
UACGUAGGGUGCAAGCGUUGUCCGGAAUUAUUGGGCGUAAAGAGCUCGUAGGCGGCUUGUCGCGUCGUCCGUGAAAACCUGCAGCUCAACUGCAGGCUUGCGGUCGAUACGGGCAGGCUCGAGUUCGGUAGGGGAGACUGGAAUUCCUGGUGUAGCGGUGAAAUGCGCAGAUAUCAGGAAGAACACCCGUGGCUAAGGCGGUUCUCUAGUACGGUACUGACGCUGAGACGCGAAAGCGUGGGGAGCGAACAGG